AUGAACGCUAGCGGCAGGCCUAACACAUGCACGUCGAGGGGGAAGUUACUUUCGGGUGACUGAGACCGGCGUACGGGUGCGUAACGCGUAUACAAUCUGCCUUUCACUGGGGGAUAGCCCGAAGAAAUUUGGAUUAAUACCCCAUAGUAUAUAGGGACGGCAUCGUUUUUAUAUUAAAGCUUAGGUGGUGAAAGAUGAGUAUGCGUUCUAUUAGCUAGUUGGAGAGGUAACGGCUCCCCAAGGCGAUGAUAGAUAGGGGUUCUGAGAGGGAUGUCCCCCACACUGGUACUGAGAUACGGACCAGACUCCUACGGGAGGCAGCAGUGAGGAAUAUUGGACAAUGGUCGGAAGACUGAUCCAGCCAUGCCGCGUGCAGGAUGAAGGUCUUAUGGAUUGUAAACUGCUUUUGUAAGGGAAGAAUAAGGGCUACGCGUAGUUUGAUGACGGUACCUUACGAAUAAGCAUCGGCUAACUCCGUG
This 479-nucleotide ribosomal RNA is filed under the name uncultured bacterium. Its description in RNAcentral is "partial 16S ribosomal RNA". It matches the Rfam family "Bacterial small subunit ribosomal RNA", at positions 29 to 507 of the family's 1533-position model. The record is from RNAcentral.